This 245-nucleotide ribosomal RNA is filed under the name uncultured bacterium. RNAcentral's name for it is "partial 16S ribosomal RNA". It matches the Rfam family "Bacterial small subunit ribosomal RNA", at positions 524 to 768 of the family's 1533-position model. The record is from RNAcentral.
GACGUAGGAUGCAAGCGUUGUCCGGAAUUAUUGGGCGUAAAGAGUUCGUAGGCGGCAUAUCAAGUCUGGUGUUAAAUACCGGGGCUUAACCCUGGAAGGGCAUUGGAAACUGAUAAGCUAGAGUGCAGAAGAGGCAAGGGGAAUUCCCAGUGUAGCGGUGAAAUGCGUAGAUAUUGGGAGGAACACCAGUGGCGAAAGCGCCUUGCUGGGCUGUUACUGACGCUGAGGAGCGAAAGCCAGGGGAG